GAGGGAGGAGUAGGAGGAGCCAUGGCGGCGCUGUUGUGGAGAUUAGGGGAGGUCGGGCACCGCCGGGCAUUUGGGAGGUGGGGCCUCCAGAGCUCUAGAAGCUGGCAAGCGAAGAGGAGGAGGAGACCAGGCUAGAGUUCUGCGCCAAUCAGGAGUGCAGGCUACGUCUCCUUGACUACGGAUCGCUUUUUCUGUGUGUGUGUCUUCACUCUCCACCCGGGCAGAGCUUAAGAGCCGAUGUCGGUGCCAGGAAUCAGGACGUGAGCGGGCCGCCCUCCUGUUCUGGGGUGGGCGGUGGUUCAGGAGGGGGCCAGCGCGGGGGCCUCGGUUUGGCUCUUCCUGUGUGAACCUGGACAGGACACCGCCCUCUCUUUAGCCUCAGUUUUUCCUGGUGUGAACUGGGGGACAGCGCUACGUGCCGCGCGUCCUCGCUCUGCCCCAUUGGACAGACUAUUUCCCCGUCCUGAGGCCUCAGUUUCUGCAUCUCAGGACUGCGAAGAAGACAGACAUCCUAAGAGAUCAGCUGACGCCCUUUAUCUAGACAGUUCCAGACCUGAUUAUGGCUCAUACAAGCCCUACCUCAGCCCGCGGCGUAUUUCCUCCUCUGUAUAAGAGAAUCCCCUCCCCUCCCCCACCUCCCGGGCUGAUCCGAAGACUCUGCGCCAUAAAAAGGAAGACAGUGGCUUACCCAUAACAAGCAUUCAUUACAUGGAGGUUGUUCCUCUUACCAUAUUCAUAAAUGAACAACUUGCCCCAGGUUUCACACGCGAUGAGUGGUUGACUCAGAACCUUGUGACCAGUUUGCCCACGGUGGCCUAACCUGCCCUGGCCCACCUAUCUACCCUCUGUCUUCUCGUGUUUAAUGGGUUCCAGUCAUGCCUCCUUUCUGCUCCUAGAACACGGUGAUCUUCUUCCCACUCAUAUCCGAUGGCCUACUUGACAUCUCCACUUGGAUUUCUUAAUAGGCAUCUCAAACCUAAGAGAUGGGGUUUUGCCAUGUUACCCAGGCUGGGCUUAAACUCCCGGGCUCCAGUGAUCCACCUGCCUCGGCCUCCCAAAGUGUUGGGAUUACAGAUGUGAGCCACCAUACCCGGCCUAGGUUCUGUGAUUUUGACUACAUUAAUACUUCAUAGAUGGGAUUUCACCAUGUUGGCCAGGCUGGCCUGGAACUCCUGAUCUCAAGUGAUCCGCCCACCUCAGCCUCCCAAAGUGCUGGGAUUACCAGCGUGAGCCACCGCGCCUGACCAGGAGCAGGUCCUUAUUGAUGUAAGACAAUCAUGCUGUGCUCCUUCUCCUUGCCAGCCAUUGGUUGACACUCAGUCCGUUUGAGCUGCAUUUGUCUCACGCAACCUGAAACUUGCCACCGCUGCAAUCAUCACGUCCCACAUCCUGCCAUCCAGGAGGUUUCCCAGAGCCCCACUCAGCACGUCGCUGUCCCAUCGGUGUGCAUGGGGCACAGGCCGGAAUGGUUGGUCUGAGGCAGGGUCGCUGUUUCCUCAAAGCCCCGCCCUCUGCGCCCCAGUCACAGCAGCUGGCACACGGAGGAGGUGUGUGAAUCUGGGAAGAUGGGUGAAGAACGUCAUAGGAGGCGACCACAAGGUUCUCCACAUAGGCUUGCCAUAUUUAGUAAAUUAAAAUACACGAUGCAUUUAACAUGCAACGUUCAGUUGCAUUUAUUUCAAAUAAACACCAGAUGUAUA
Macaca fascicularis (crab-eating macaque) is the source of this 1700-nucleotide long non-coding RNA. The record is from Ensembl. NCBI's taxonomy places the organism in Eukaryota, Metazoa, Chordata, Mammalia, Primates, Cercopithecidae.